UUCACAAUUUAGUUUAACAGUUCUGUAUUAAAAACUGAGUGAAAUUCCCAUGUGGUCACUUAUAAUUUGACUGGUCAUAAUCGUAUCACAAUUUCCUUUACUAUGUCCUCAGGAGGUCAAGAAACAACAACCCACCCGCGACAGGAGAAGAAAAAAUGUCCAUGCAUCCUGUUCCAUCUGGACUGGCGUCGUAGAGGUUGUACCCUACGACCCUCUGUUGUCACAGAGAGCAGAGACAGAAAGUCACUGGAGCUCGAGGGAUCAUCUCCAUGCACCGCCCCCCCUGCAUCUGCACAGAAAGUUUUCCUGCAACAUGUGGGGAAACAAAGCAUCGUCCUACGGAAUUUCUUUCCUACCUUAAUUCAAAAGCAUAGUGUUUCAUUUUGGUGCGUAAUUUCUUUAUUUCACAUUAAGAUUUUGUAAAGCUUUCUCUCAAACCCUGCCCUGUCUCUCAAAUAGCGCAUGCUGAAGCGCAAAGCUGCUCUGCUCCUGCUCAAAACUAUUUGCACUCAGAUAUACUGUUGCUGCAACAAUGUCAUGUGCUUCUGUUUGUGUCCUUCUCCUAGUAAUCAGGCUGCUUCUGUGUGCUCGUGAAACUUCCGCUCUCAGAUUUUUGCUCUCGCUCUCGGAUUUCUAUGAAAAUGACAAAAUUCCCAAACCAAUAGAAUGCCAGGAUAAAGUUGACCAAUGAAAUCAUCACUGCCUCAUUGCGGGCACGUUUGCUUUACUUCUUACAGCUUCCCUUACGGACAGGGCAGGGUUUUGAGGGAAAGCAAUAUAAAAUCUGAAUGCGAAAUUAAGAAAUAAUGCCCUCAAAUUGAAAGACCAUGCUUUUGAAUAAAGAUACAAUAGGAACUCCAUAUGGUCCACACUGCUGAAGAUAAUUGUAAUUGUACUUUAUUUUAAUCAGUCUGUUAUUAUUGUUGAAAACAACAGAGGGAGCAUUCUCAGAGGCCUAUUUUUAUUUAAUAUAGGCUAUUUAUUUUUAUAUAAUUUUUCAUUUGCAUGUACUGCAGCUGUAUAUUUUCAAACAGGGAAGGAAACCCUGUCUUUGCAUUUUAUUUUGACCAGUCUGUUUUAAUACAAGUGCAUGUAACAUCUUACAUGUGGCUAUCUAAUUUACAACUGUAUCUACAUCUCAUGUAUCACCAUUGAGCCUAAAAAUAUAGAAAUAUGACAUUUAGUCUGUAGCCCUAACUUGUAGCUAAAUAUUUGAACUGCACAUAAGUAACAUUAAUGCUGAAGACCAUGUGACCACCUGGUGCUACAACACGCAGAGCCUUGUACCCUUCUACGAUAAGUCUGGUGAUAUUCUGUUUUUCUUACUCUCAUCAAAUCCCAUGAAAAUAAUAAAACCAACAAGAAUUCGUCCUGUAAA
Molecule: long non-coding RNA, 1378 nt
Organism: Xiphias gladius (swordfish)
Lineage: Eukaryota; Metazoa; Chordata; Actinopteri; Istiophoriformes; Xiphiidae
Exons: 2
Source: RefSeq, a predicted model, not a curated record